Molecule: ribosomal RNA, 799 nt
Filed under: Salmonella enterica subsp. enterica serovar Typhi
Lineage: Bacteria; Pseudomonadati; Pseudomonadota; Gammaproteobacteria; Enterobacterales; Enterobacteriaceae
Description: partial 23S ribosomal RNA
Rfam family: Bacterial large subunit ribosomal RNA
Source: RNAcentral
UAGGUGGGAGGCUUUGAAGUGUGGACGCCAGUCUGCAUGGAGCCGACCUUGAAAUACCACCCUUUAAUGUUUGAUGUUCUAACGUGGACCCGUGAUCCGGGUUGCGGACAGUGUCUGGUGGGUAGUUUGACUGGGGCGGUCUCCUCCUAAAGAGUAACGGAGGAGCACGAAGGUUGGCUAAUCCUGGUCGGACAUCAGGAGGUUAGUGCAAUGGCAUAAGCCAGCUUGACUGCGAGCGUGACGGCGCGAGCAGGUGCGAAAGCAGGUCAUAGUGAUCCGGUGGUUCUGAAUGGAAGGGCCAUCGCUCAACGGAUAAAAGGUACUCCGGGGAUAACAGGCUGAUACCGCCCAAGAGUUCAUAUCGACGGCGGUGUUUGGCACCUCGAUGUCGGCUCAUCACAUCCUGGGGCUGAAGUAGGUCCCAAGGGUAUGGCUGUUCGCCAUUUAAAGUGGUACGCGAGCUGGGUUUAGAACGUCGUGAGACAGUUCGGUCCCUAUCUGCCGUGGGCGCUGGAGAACUGAGGGGGGCUGCUCCUAGUACGAGAGGACCGGAGUGGACGCAUCACUGGUGUUCGGGUUGUCAUGCCAAUGGCACUGCCCGGUAGCUAAAUGCGGAAGAGAUAAGUGCUGAAAGCAUCUAAGCACGAAACUUGCCCCGAGAUGAGUUCUCCCUGAGACUUUAGGUCUCCUGAAGGAACGUUGAAGACGACGACGUUGAUAGGCCGGGUGUGUAAGCGCAGCGAUGCGUUGAGCUAACCGGUACUAAUGAACCGUGAGGCUUAACCUUACAACGCCGAAG